RNAcentral lists this ribosomal RNA (2262 nucleotides) under Pantoea sp. M_8. RNAcentral describes it as "partial 23S ribosomal RNA". It matches the Rfam family "Bacterial large subunit ribosomal RNA", at positions 588 to 2925 of the family's 2925-position model. Lineage: Bacteria; Pseudomonadati; Pseudomonadota; Gammaproteobacteria; Enterobacterales; Erwiniaceae. The record is from RNAcentral.
GUGGUGUGACUGCGUACCUUUUGUAUAAUGGGUCAGCGACUUAUAUUCUGUAGCAAGGUUAACCGUAUAGGGGAGCCGCAGGGAAACCGAGUCUUAACUGGGCGUUAAGUUGCAGGGUAUAGACCCGAAACCCGGUGAUCUAGCCAUGGGCAGGUUGAAGGUUGGGUAACACUAACUGGAGGACCGAACCGACUAAUGUUGAAAAAUUAGCGGAUGACCUGUGGCUGGGGGUGAAAGGCCAAUCAAACCGGGAGAUAGCUGGUUCUCCCCGAAAGCUAUUUAGGUAGCGCCUCGUGAACUCAUCUCCGGGGGUAGAGCACUGUUUCGGCUAGGGGGCCAUCCCGGCUUACCAACCCGAUGCAAACUGCGAAUACCGGAGAAUGUUAUCACGGGAGACACACGGCGGGUGCUAACGUCCGUCGUGAAGAGGGAAACAACCCAGACCGCCAGCUAAGGUCCCAAAGUCAUGGUUAAGUGGGAAACGAUGUGGGAAGGCACAGACAGCCAGGAUGUUGGCUUAGAAGCAGCCAUCAUUUAAAGAAAGCGUAAUAGCUCACUGGUCGAGUCGGCCUGCGCGGAAGAUGUAACGGGGCUAAACCAUGCACCGAAGCUGCGGCAGCGACNGUGAGGCAUGCUGGAGGUAUCAGAAGUGCGAAUGCUGACAUAAGUAACGAUAAAGCGGGUGAAAAGCCCGCUCGCCGGAAGACCAAGGGUUCCUGUUCAACGUUAAUCGGAGCAGGGUGAGUCGACCCCUAAGGCGAGGCCGAAAGGCGUAGUCGAUGGGAAACAGGUUAAUAUUCCUGUACUCGGUGUUACUGCGAAGGGGGGACGGAGAAGGCUAUAUCGGCCGGGCGACGGUUGUCCCGGUUUAAGCGUGUAGGCGGAGGGUCCAGGUAAAUCCGGACUCUUUUAACGCUGAGGCGUGACGACGAGGCACUACGGUGCUGAAGUGAUAAAUGCCCUGCUUCCAGGAAAAGCCUCUAAGCAUCAGGUAACACAGAAUCGUACCCCAAACCGACACAGGUGGUCAGGUAGAGAAUACCAAGGCGCUUGAGAGAACUCGGGUGAAGGAACUAGGCAAAAUGGUGCCGUAACUUCGGGAGAAGGCACGCUGGCGCGUAGGUGAAGGGACUUGCUCCCGGAGCUGAAGCCAGUCGAAGAUACCAGCUGGCUGCAACUGUUUAUUAAAAACACAGCACUGUGCAAACACGAAAGUGGACGUAUACGGUGUGACGCCUGCCCGGUGCCGGAAGGUUAAUUGAUGGGGUUAUCCGCAAGGAGAAGCUCUUGAUCGAAGCCCCGGUAAACGGCGGCCGUAACUAUAACGGUCCUAAGGUAGCGAAAUUCCUUGUCGGGUAAGUUCCGACCUGCACGAAUGGCGUAAUGAUGGCCAGGCUGUCUCCACCCGAGACUCAGUGAAAUUGAACUCGCUGUGAAGAUGCAGUGUACCCGCGGCAAGACGGAAAGACCCCGUGAACCUUUACUACAGCUUGACACUGAACAUUGAGCCUUGAUGUGUAGGAUAGGUGGGAGGCUUUGAAGCGCGGACGCCAGUCUGCGUGGAGCCAUCCUUGAAAUACCACCCUUUAAUGUUUGAUGUUCUAACGUGGCCCCGUGAUCCGGGGUGCGGACAGUGUCUGGUGGGUAGUUUGACUGGGGCGGUCUCCUCCCAAAGAGUAACGGAGGAGCACGAAGGUCAGCUAAUCACGGUCGGACAUCGUGAGGUUAGUGCAAUGGCAUAAGCUGGCUUGACUGCGAGAGUGACGGCUCGAGCAGGUGCGAAAGCAGGUCAUAGUGAUCCGGUGGUUCUGAAUGGAAGGGCCAUCGCUCAACGGAUAAAAGGUACUCCGGGGAUAACAGGCUGAUACCGCCCAAGAGUUCAUAUCGACGGCGGUGUUUGGCACCUCGAUGUCGGCUCAUCACAUCCUGGGGCUGAAGUAGGUCCCAAGGGUACGGCUGUUCGCCGUUUAAAGUGGUACGCGAGCUGGGUUUAGAACGUCGUGAGACAGUUCGGUCCCUAUCUGCCGUGGGCGCUGGAGAAUUGAGGGGGGUUGCUCCUAGUACGAGAGGACCGGAGUGAACGCACCACUGGUGUUCGGGUUGUCAUGCCAAUGGCACUGCCCGGUAGCUAAGUGCGGAAAAGAUAAGUGCUGAAAGCAUCUAAGCACGAAACUUGCCCCGAGAUGAGUUCUCCCUGACNUGCGUUGAGCUAACCGGUACUAAUGACCCGUGAGGCUUAACCUUACAACGCCAGAGGCGUUU